UACGGAGGAUGCAAGCGUUAUCCGGAUUUAUUGGGUUUAAAGGGUGCGCAGGCUGUUCGUUAAGUCAGCGGUGAAAUGUCCCGGCUCAACCGGGGCACUGCCGUUGAUACUAGCGGACUCGAGUACGGACGGCGCCGGCGGAAUGUGUCAUGUAGCGGUGAAAUGCUUAGAUAUGCCACAGAACACCGAUCGCGAAGGCAGCUGGAGGCCGGUACUGACGCUCAGGCACGAAAGCGUGGGGAUCAAACAG
This 250-nucleotide ribosomal RNA is filed under the name uncultured prokaryote. RNAcentral describes it as "partial 16S ribosomal RNA". It matches the Rfam family "Bacterial small subunit ribosomal RNA", at positions 524 to 775 of the family's 1533-position model. The record is from RNAcentral.